Molecule: ribosomal RNA, 514 nt
Filed under: uncultured bacterium
Lineage: Bacteria
Description: partial 16S ribosomal RNA
Rfam family: Bacterial small subunit ribosomal RNA
Source: RNAcentral
GACGAACGCUGGCGGCGUGCCUAAUACAUGCAAGUAGAACGCUGAAGAGAGGAGCUUGCUCUUCUUGGAAGAGUUGCGAACGGGUGAGUAACGCGUAGGUAACCUGCCUUGUAGCGGGGGAUAACUAUUGGAAACGACAGCUAAUACCGCAUAACAAUGGAUGACCCAUGUCAUUUAUUUGAAAGGGGCAACUGCUCCACUACAAGAUGGACCUGCGUUGUAUUAGCUAGUAGGUGAGGUAACGGCUCACCUAGGCGACGAUACAUAGCCGACCUGAGAGGGUGAUCGGCCACACUGGGACUGAGACACGGCCCAGACUCCUACGGGAGGCAGCAGUAGGGAAUCUUCGGCAAUGGGGGGCAACCCUGACCGAGCAACGCCGCGUGAGUGAAGAAGGUUUUCGGAUCGUAAAGCUCUGUUGUAAGUCAAGAACGAGUGUGAGAGUGGAAAGUUCACACUGUGACGGUAGCUUACCAGAAAGGGACGGCUAACUACGUGCCAGCCGCCGCGGUAA